RRKKCGCCCUUAGAGUUUGAUCCUGGCUCAGAACGAACGCUGGCGGCGUGCUUAACACAUGCAUGUCGAACGUGAUUCAGAGCUUGCUCUGAUGAAAGUGGCGCACGGGUGAGUAACGCGUGGAUAACCUGCCCUGGUAUCUGGGAUAACAUCUCGAAAGGGGUGCUAAUACCGGAUAAGCCUCCGGGAUCUUCGGAUUCUGCAGGAAAAGAAGGCCUCUAUUUAUAAGCUUCCGUAUCAUGAUGGGUCCGCGUACCAUUAGCUAGUUGGUGGGGUAAUGGCCUACCAAGGCGACGAUGGUUAGCUGGUUUGAGAGAACGACCAGCCACACUGGGACUGAGACACGGCCCAGACUCCUACGGGAGGCAGCAGUGGGGAAUUUUGCGCAAUGGGGGAAACCCUGACGCAGCAACGCCGCGUGAGUGAUGAAGGCUUUCGGGUCGUAAAGCUCUGUCAGAGGGGAAGAAAUGAAACGUGCUAAUAUCACGUUUUCUUGACGGUACCCCCAAAGGAAGCACCGGCUAACUCCGUGCCAGCAGCCGCGGUAAUAC
This 551-nucleotide ribosomal RNA is filed under the name uncultured Geobacteraceae bacterium. RNAcentral describes it as "bacterial SSU rRNA". It matches the Rfam family "Bacterial small subunit ribosomal RNA", at positions 1 to 526 of the family's 1533-position model. Lineage: Bacteria; Pseudomonadati; Thermodesulfobacteriota; Desulfuromonadia; Geobacterales; Geobacteraceae. The record is from RNAcentral.